Molecule: transfer RNA, 99 nt
Filed under: Cellulomonas biazotea
Lineage: Bacteria; Bacillati; Actinomycetota; Actinomycetes; Micrococcales; Cellulomonadaceae
Description: tRNA-Ala
Source: RNAcentral
GCGCACGGCGGGCUGUCGGGCGGGUCCCGCGGCGUCAGCGGCGCCGUCGACGACGGCAUCGGCGUCGUCCGGACGGGGGUCGCGGCGCUGCCCGGUGCG